Molecule: ribosomal RNA, 405 nt
Filed under: Peptostreptococcaceae bacterium DJ-A2
Lineage: Bacteria; Bacillati; Bacillota; Clostridia; Peptostreptococcales; Peptostreptococcaceae
Description: bacterial SSU rRNA
Rfam family: Bacterial small subunit ribosomal RNA
Source: RNAcentral
UCAGGAUGAACGCUGGCGGCGUGCCUAACACAUGCAAGUCGAGCGAUCUCUUCGGAGAGAGCGGCGGACGGGUGAGUAACGCGUGGGUAACCUGCCCUGUACACACGGAUAACAUACCGAAAGGUAUACUAAUACGGGAUAACAUACGAAAGUCGCAUGGCUUUUGUAUCAAAGCUCCGGCGGUACAGGAUGGACCCGCGUCUGAUUAGCUAGUUGGUAAGGUAAUGGCUUACCAAGGCAACGAUCAGUAGCCGACCUGAGAGGGUGAUCGGCCACACUGGAACUGAGACACGGUCCAGACUCCUACGGGAGGCAGCAGUGGGGAAUAUUGCACAAUGGGCGAAAGCCUGAUGCAGCAACGCCGCGUGAGCGAUGAAGGCCUUCGGGUCGUAAAGCUCUGUCCUC